UACAGAGGUCUCGAGCGUUAGGCGGAAUCACCGGGCUUAAAGCGUGUGUAGGCGGGUCGUUAAGUGCCUUGUGAAAUCCUAUGGCUCAACCAUGGAACUGCUGGGCAUACUGGCGAUCUUGUGCCACCUAGGGGCGAGCGGAACAGAUGGUGGAGCGGUGAAAUGCGUAGAUAUCAUCUGGAACGCCAAUGGUGAAAACAGCUCGCUGGGGGUGUGCAGACGCUGAGACACGAAAGCCAGGGGAGCGAACGGG
Molecule: ribosomal RNA, 253 nt
Filed under: uncultured bacterium
Lineage: Bacteria
Description: partial 16S ribosomal RNA
Rfam family: Bacterial small subunit ribosomal RNA
Source: RNAcentral